Molecule: ribosomal RNA, 482 nt
Filed under: uncultured delta proteobacterium
Lineage: Bacteria; Deltaproteobacteria
Description: bacterial SSU rRNA
Rfam family: Bacterial small subunit ribosomal RNA
Source: RNAcentral
GCGAGAAAGUUCCCUUCUGGGGGGCGAGUAAAGCGGCGCACGGGUGAGUAACACGUGGAUAACCUGCCCUUUGGUAUGGGACAACAUUCCGAAAGGAUUGCUAAUACCGUAUAAGUCGGCGGAGGCUUCGGUUUCUGUCGGGAAAGGCGGCUUCUUCGGGAGCUGUCGCCAGAGGAGGGGUCCGCGGCCCAUCAGCCAGAUGGUGAGGUAAUGGCUCACCAUAGCUAAGACGGGUAGCUGGUCUGAGAGGAUGAUCAGCCACACUGGGACUGAGACACGGCCCAGACUCCUACGGGAGGCAGCAGUGGGGAAUAUUGGACAAUGGCGCAAGCCUGAUCCAGCCACGCCGCGUGUGUGAUGAAGGCCUUCGGGUCGUAAAGCACUGUGGAGGGGGAAGAACGACCAGAGGGAAUAAUACCCCUUUGGAGUGACGCUACCCCUUUAGCAAGCACCGGCUAACUCCGUGCCAGCAGCCGCGGUAA